RNAcentral lists this ribosomal RNA (379 nucleotides) under uncultured eukaryote. Its description in RNAcentral is "partial 18S ribosomal RNA". It matches the Rfam family "Eukaryotic small subunit ribosomal RNA", at positions 592 to 975 of the family's 1831-position model. The record is from RNAcentral.
CAAUAGCGUAUAUUAAAGUUGUUGCAGUUAGAACGCUCGUAGUCGGAUUUCGGGGCGGGCCGACCGGUCUGCCGAUGGGUACGCACUGGUCGGCGCGUCCUUCCUUCCGGAGACCGUGCCUACUCUUAACUGAGCGGGGGCGGGAGACGGAUCGUUUACUUUGAAAAAAUCAGAGUGUUUCAAGCAGGCAGCUCGCUCUUGCAUGGAUUAGCAUGGGAUAAUGAAAUAGGACUUUGGUGCUAUUUUGUUGGUUUCGAACACCGAAGUAAUGAUUAAAAGGGACAGUCAGGGGCACUCGUAUUCCGCCGAGAGAGGUGAAAUUCUCAGACCAGCGGAAGACGAACCACUGCGAANGNAUUUGGNAGGGAUGUUUNCACUG